GACGAACGCUGGCGGUGUGCUUCAUACAUGCAAGUCGAACGAUAAGGCCCUUCGGGGUACAUAAGUGGCGGACGGGUGAGUAACGCGUAGGGAAUCUGCCUUAAGGAAGGGGACAACGUUGGGAAACUGACGCUAAUACCCUAUAUGUGGCGAGCUGAGAUGCUUAUCAUGAAAUGUUCCGGCGCCUUAAGAUGAGCCUGCGUCUGAUUAGCUAGUUGGUGGGGUAAAGGGCUACCAAGGCGACGAUCAGUAGAUGGUCUGAGAGGAUGAUCAUCCACAAUGGGACUGAGACACGGCCCAUACUCCUACGGGAGGCAGGAGUAGGGAAUUUUGCGCACUGGGCGAAAGCCUGACGCAGCAACACCGCGUGAGCGAUGAGGCCCUUCGGGGUGUAAAGCUCUGUCGGCAGGGACGAAUAAAUGACGGUACCUGCAAAGGAAGCAUCGGCUAACUACGUGCCAGCCGCCGCCGUAA
This 474-nucleotide ribosomal RNA is filed under the name uncultured bacterium. Its description in RNAcentral is "partial 16S ribosomal RNA". It matches the Rfam family "Bacterial small subunit ribosomal RNA", at positions 28 to 523 of the family's 1533-position model. The record is from RNAcentral.